RNAcentral lists this ribosomal RNA (497 nucleotides) under uncultured bacterium. Its description in RNAcentral is "partial 16S ribosomal RNA". It matches the Rfam family "Bacterial small subunit ribosomal RNA", at positions 28 to 507 of the family's 1533-position model. The record is from RNAcentral.
GAUGAACGCUGGCGGCGUGCCUAAUACAUGCAAGUCGAGCGAACAGACGAGGAGCUUGCUCCUCUGACGUUAGCGGCGGACGGGUGAGUAACACGUGGAUAACCUACCUAUAAGACUGGGAUAACUUCGGGAAACCGGAGCUAAUACCGGAUAAUAUAUUGAACCGCAUGGUUCAAUAGUGAAAGACGGUUUUGCUGUCACUUAUAGAUGGAUCCGCGCCGCAUUAGCUAGUUGGUAAGGUAACGGCUUACCAAGGCAACGAUGCGUAGCCGACCUGAGAGGGUGGUCGGCCACACUGGAACUGAGACGCGGUCCAGACGCCUACGGGAGGCAGCAGUAGGGAAUCUUCCGCAAUGGGUGAAAGCCUGACGGAGCAACGCCGCGUGAGUGAUGAAGGUCUUCGGAUCGUGAAACUCUGUUAUUGGGGAAGAACAAAUGUGUAAGUAACUAUGCACGUCUUGACGGUAACUGGUCAGAAAGCAACGGCUAACUACGUG